UAUUUUUAAUAAUAAUAAUAAUAAGUCCGCAAGGCAGCUUGUGGCGAGCUUCCGCAAGGCAGCUUGUGGCGAGCUGUUGGGCAGUGGCGACCCCACGGACCUGACUCCCGGGAGAGGCCCUACUUUUUAACUCCGGUUGGUACUCGUGACUAUCCGGAGUGGCCUCUCCUACCUCACUCUUGCCUUAAUCGGCUGGUUUGAGUGGAGAUUCGCAAGAGUGGAGUUGCCUUCAGCUCCACUUGGGGGAAGGACGUAUCCCAGUAAGAUGCUGGUAGGGGUCUUGACCGUACUUCCGGGAUUGCUCUGAUAGCCGUGGGAUGCCUCCCCUUCCUCAAGCAGCUCAACGGAUGUUGCUUCCCUUGUCGCUACAUGCUAGCGGCCGUUUCCGGGGGCCCACUAUUGAGUUUGCGAGUCACCCCCUGCCUGUUUAUCCGUAUUUUUCAAUAUUGGUCAGGGGCAGGGGCCAUAGUCCCCAUAGUUAACCGGUUAACUAUUCCACAGCCACCCACACCCAUAUCCCUAUCAUUUCCUUUUACCAUAUCUCACAAUAGUCCUGCAUCAACCGGGGAUUGUCCUUUGGUGUACUUCCAUAGUGCAUACAGGGAUAAUCGCCGGCUGAUGUCCCAUUACAUUUAGAUUAAAAUUGUUCAACGGGCCUCUGCGAGUUGGCUUCGGCCCCUCGUACGCCUUCCAAAGGUCCGGGACCCUGUGGUCCCGUGAUUAUGUAAAGAACAAACAUAAUAAUAA
Long non-coding RNA from Spodoptera frugiperda (fall armyworm), 747 nucleotides. RefSeq lists it as uncharacterized. The transcript has 2 exons. Lineage: Eukaryota; Metazoa; Arthropoda; Insecta; Lepidoptera; Noctuidae. The record is from RefSeq and is a predicted model, not a curated record.